CCGUGCUAGCCGGGGAGAUAGCGGUUCCCUGUACCUGCAAUCCGCUAUAGCAGGGGUGAUGUUCUGUUUCGGGUCUAUGGCUUGCAAAGCUGCCCUUUGUAAGUGGCGUUGACGCUUUGGUCUUGCGCAAUGGAAACUCAUGAACCGUGUCAGGAGGGGAACCUAGCAGCACUAAGUGAGAUCUUCCGUGUGCCGCGAGGUUGCCGGGGCUGAGUUAACUGCAAAGGUAACGUUUGCAGCGAUGGAUUCAACGCAGAAUGCACGG
RNAcentral lists this signal recognition particle RNA (265 nucleotides) under Clostridium sp. RNAcentral describes it as "signal recognition particle sRNA large type". It matches the Rfam family "Bacterial large signal recognition particle RNA". Rfam says of the family: The signal recognition particle (SRP) is a universally conserved ribonucleoprotein involved in the co-translational targeting of proteins to membranes. Archaeal SRP consists of a 7S RNA and homologues of the eukaryotic SRP19 and SRP54 proteins. Lineage: Bacteria; Bacillati; Bacillota; Clostridia; Eubacteriales; Clostridiaceae. RNAcentral also lists the same sequence under 6 other names. The record is from RNAcentral.